RNAcentral lists this ribosomal RNA (329 nucleotides) under uncultured eukaryote. Its description in RNAcentral is "partial 18S ribosomal RNA". It matches the Rfam family "Eukaryotic small subunit ribosomal RNA", at positions 1470 to 1796 of the family's 1831-position model. The record is from RNAcentral.
CCCUUAGAUGUCCUGGGCCGCACGCGCGCUACACUGAGUGUCUGAGAUACGAGUCUGCCUGGUCCGGCAAGGUCUAGGUAAUCGCUAAAAGACAUAUCAUGCUUGGGAUAGAUUAUUGCAAAUAUUAAUCUUGAACGAGGAAUUCCUAGUAAGCGCAAGUCAACAGCUUGCGUUGAUUACGUCCCUGCCCUUUGUACACACCGCCCGUCGCUACUACUGAUUGGAUGUUUAAGCGAGGUUCUCGAACUGCUAGCGACUUAGCUUCGGUGAGGUCGCAGUGUGGGAAGUGAACCUAGCUUUGGUGUCUAGAGGAAGUAAAAGUCGUAACA